Molecule: unclassified non-coding RNA, 1663 nt
Filed under: Hevea brasiliensis (rubber tree)
Lineage: Eukaryota; Viridiplantae; Streptophyta; Magnoliopsida; Malpighiales; Euphorbiaceae
Source: RNAcentral
AAUAAAAUAAAAUAAAAUAAAAAACUGAAUAAAGUGAAACUUUGAAGCUGAAGAUUUACCAACUAGUGCUCAGAAUAGGAGAACAAGAAAUGACAAUGUUAAGAAAGGAGAUAAACUGCCAUACAAUUUACAGUCAUAUAAGUUCAAAAGGUAAAUCUGACGAAUUCAUAAUGAAGAGGCUUAAUGCCAAAAUCAUUUAUUGAACAAGAAAACUUCCAAUUUAACUAAAACAAAUACCUGUAUAUGAUAUCCAAAUAACAUAAUGCACCAAAUAAGACCCAAACUAAAACAUCUUAUGAGGUAAAGUGAUCAUGACAUGUUACUCGAUCAAAAUUCAAAACCUGGCAAACAAGACAUUAGAUGCUUUCAACUUUCAAGUCUUUAAGGCUGGCAUUACAUAUGAAAUGCAUUGUCAAUUACCACAUGCAAGUCAAGCCAGUCAUCACAUAUGUUCAUUAAAGAAAGAUAGCAAGAUUAACAAAAUUAGAAAAAUUUAAAUUCAAUGAGACUCUAAUUCAAUUAAACUUAGGCACACUGUUGUCAUUUAACGAUAAUCAAAAUAAAUACAUACGCAGAUAGCAAUAUGGAUAAAAUAAAAUUGCAGGAUUUAGCAUAUAAGAAUGCUAUCUAAGGUUUUAGUCAUAACAGCUUCCACUUAUCCACUAAUUCAUUUUCUUUCGUAGUUUCCACUCUAUUCCAUAAUAACUAAUCUUAAAUUUCAUCCACCAUUUUUUCAAAAGAAGCCUAUUAAAUACGUUAACAAGCCUAUAUGAAUUGUUAAUACAUAUUUGAGAGCCAUAUGCUGCAACAUAUUGGCUCAACUUCAAUUUCAGUAGAAUACCAGCUUAUUACAUUUCCCUGGAAAUUCAUGCUAAUGGGAUUUCUCACAUUUCAAAAUUCCCCCAACAGUUACAACCUUUUGAAGAGCUCAAACCCAUUUAGCAGAGAAACGUAGUACUUAGGUUCUAUAGUCAUCUGCCAUCAAACUUCAAAGAUAAAAAUAAGAGAAGCUGCCCCAAUCCACAGCAGGAAAACUCAAAGAGACAAGAUUGCUCUGCAUUUGCAGCUGAACUUAAAAGCACUUUUCUAAAAUAAUGACACUGACAUACUCACCUUUUAGGUAAAAAACUAGUAGCCAUUCGUUUUUCCUUUUCUUUAUUUGUUUUGAGGAACAGAAGAAAAAAAAAGGAAAGAAAAAAAGAAGGCAGCAGCUCCAAAUAAAAGCAGCACUACUAGCGCCUAGUAUCCAUUCAAAGCAUUGAAAGUUUCUCUAAAUCCCAGCAUCCAAGCAACCCAAUCACAAAAACAGGUUUGGAAGAUUUUUCACUGCAUGUCAGUUACUGCCUAAAAUUCAGAUCCAACAUCACCCCACUUAUCAAACUUCCAGGCAUUUUAACAAAACCCAUUACAAAUUUGAUAGUCACUAAAUCCAAAACAAACCCACAUCAAGCAUUCACUAGAUUGCUUGAAAUCAGCAUUCAAAAUGAAAAUUCGACAAAACCCUAACACACAUCAAAAUCAACUGAAAAAACAAGAACAAAUAAACUAAUACUAGGCUGGAUCGUAAUUUCUUCGAAAUGAAGACCCAAUUUCUCACCUCAGAAAAGAAAAGUAUCCUCUUCUCAUGACGUCAAAAAACCUUAAAAAAAAAAAAAAAAAAAAA